This is a long non-coding RNA of Gavialis gangeticus (Gharial), 127 nucleotides long. RefSeq lists it as uncharacterized. The record is from RefSeq and is a predicted model, not a curated record. The transcript is spliced from 3 exons. Lineage: Eukaryota; Metazoa; Chordata; Crocodylia; Gavialidae.
AACAAUAAGCAUGAGCGUAGAGGCCAAGAAGAUCAAGAUCAUGGACAUAACAAUCCCCUUCAAGAACUGGCGCCAAGCCUUCACCGAUGCCCGGGCUCGCAAGCAGGAGAAGUACGCCCCGCUAGCU